This 238-nucleotide ribosomal RNA is filed under the name uncultured bacterium. Its description in RNAcentral is "partial 16S ribosomal RNA". It matches the Rfam family "Bacterial small subunit ribosomal RNA", at positions 15 to 244 of the family's 1533-position model. The record is from RNAcentral.
GAUCCUGGCUCAGGAUGAACGCUAGCUACAGGCUUAACACAUGCAAGUCGAGGGGCAGCGGGAUUGAAGCUUGCUUCAAUUGCCGGCGACCGGCGCACGGGUGAGUAACGCGUAUCCAACCUGCCCACCACUUGGGGAUAACCUUGCGAAAGUAAGACUAAUACCCAAUGACAUCCCACGAAGACAUCUGAAUGGGAUUAAAGAUUUAUCGGUGAUGGAUGGGGAUGCGUCUGAUUAG